GAACGAGAAAGUGGAGCAAUCCAUGAGUAAAGUGGCGACCGGGUGAGUAACACGUGACUAACCUACCUUCGAGUGGGGGAUAACCUCGGGAAACCGAGGCUAAUACCGCAUAACAUCGCAAGAUCAAAGCAGCAAUGCGCUUGAAGAGGGGGUCGCGGCUGAUUAGCUAGUUGGCGGGGUAACGGCCCACCAAGGCGAAGAUCGGUAUCCGGCCUGAGAGGGCGCACGGGCACACUGGAACUGAAACACGGUCCAGACUCCUACGGGAGGCAGCAGUGGGGAAUUUUGCGCAAUGGGGGAAACCCUGACGCAGCAACGCCGCGUGGAGGAUGAAGCCCCUUGGGGCGUAAACUCCUUUCGACCAAGACGAUAAUGACGGUACUGGUGGAAGAAGCACCGGCUAACUCUGUG
RNAcentral lists this ribosomal RNA (411 nucleotides) under uncultured bacterium. RNAcentral describes it as "bacterial SSU rRNA". It matches the Rfam family "Bacterial small subunit ribosomal RNA", at positions 64 to 507 of the family's 1533-position model. The record is from RNAcentral.